CACUGUGCCUCAGGGCUUGGUAGCCCGAGGCAGCUGCUUCACCAUGUUUAAUGAUAGGGGCUGGCCAUUGGAGCAUAAAAAAUAUGUGCAGGGUGAAGCUCGACAACAUUAAGGUCACUUCCAAUUCAGUGAACUCAUAAACCAAUCCAUAUAGGUCUAGAACAGGAUGAGCAGCUAUCAACUGGUCCUUGGACUCAUAAUGCAACACAUCAGAAGAAAACAACAUUGGGAAAAUUUCCAUCAGAUCUGCAAAUGGAGAUCCAUGGGGAGAAAAGUAAGUUUGUGGCUACACAGGGAUUGUGAUACAGGAGGACCAGAUCCAAAUGCAUGGAUAUUCGCAGAAGGCAACAAGGGGAAAUAUCUAACACUUCCUAAACCUAAAUUUAUAUUUAUUUUUUAUCUAUACAAACAGAUGUAUUGGCUGAAAUCUAGCAGCAUAAUUUACAGUGCAUAAGGCUGAUGAUGUCAUCAACUGCAACAAUGUUCAGAAAUGAAAAAAUGUCUGAUUUGCCCUUGAAAGUCAUGAGACUCCCAUGAGAUCCCUUUCAAUCUAGCAGC
This 558-nucleotide long non-coding RNA is filed under the name Pogona vitticeps (central bearded dragon). Its description in RNAcentral is "lncRNA (ENSPVIG00000018782.1)". Lineage: Eukaryota; Metazoa; Chordata; Lepidosauria; Squamata; Agamidae. The record is from RNAcentral.